GAUGCACGCUAGCGGCAGGCUUAACACAUGCAAGUCGAGGGGCAGCGCGGGAUAGCAAUAUCCUGGCGGCGACCGGCGGAAGGGUGCGUAACGCGUGAGCGACAUGCCCGUUGCCCGGGGACAACCGGUGGAAACGCCGACUAAUCCCCGAUGGGAUAUUGUGCCGCAUGGCACGAUAUUGAAAGUUACGGCGGCGACGGAUUGGCUCGCGUCCGAUUAGCUUGUUGGCGGGGUAACGGCCCACCAAGGCUGCGAUCGGUAGGGGUUCUGAGAGGAAGGCCCCCCACAAUGGGACUGAGACACGGCCCAUACUCCUACGGGAGGCAGCAGUGAGGAAUAUUGGUCAAUGGGCGGAAGCCUGAACCAGCCAUGCCGCGUGCGGGAAGGAGGCCCUAUGGGCUGUGAACCGCUUUUGCCUGGGGGCAAUAAGGGCGUCGCGCACGUCCGAUGAGAGUACCAGGCGAAUAAGCAUCGGCUAACUCCGUG
Molecule: ribosomal RNA, 486 nt
Filed under: uncultured bacterium
Lineage: Bacteria
Description: partial 16S ribosomal RNA
Rfam family: Bacterial small subunit ribosomal RNA
Source: RNAcentral